This 253-nucleotide ribosomal RNA is filed under the name uncultured bacterium. RNAcentral describes it as "partial 16S ribosomal RNA". It matches the Rfam family "Bacterial small subunit ribosomal RNA", at positions 524 to 776 of the family's 1533-position model. The record is from RNAcentral.
UACGAAGGGGGCUAGCGUUGCUCGGAAUCACUGGGCGUAAAGGGUGCGUAGGCGGGUCUUUAAGUCAGAGGUGAAAUCCUGGAGCUCAACUCCAGAACUGCCUUUGAUACUGAGGAUCUUGAGUUUGGGAGAGGGACGCGGAAUUCCAGGUGUAGCGGUGAAAUGCGUAGAUAUCUGGAAGAACACCGGUGGCGCAAGCGGAUUGCUGGGCCAUAACUGACACUGAGGAACGAAAGCUAGGGUAGCGAAUGGG